GCCAUCGCAUUUUCCGUCCGGAUUGAUGAGCUCCGUAAAUCCCUUCAUGUAUUUCUGUGAUCGCCUGAGCACCCUCUUGGGGGCCGAGGCAUAGUAAUAGCAGUCCAUCCUCGCCUUUCCGGUAUAACUCAUUUUGAUACAUGACAUAGUUCGUGGCUUGAACUCAUGUUUUGCGACUAUGUUUGCCAUUGGGAUUGUCAAGGUACUGCAUAAUGGGCUUUCUCCAAUCAUCUGGUAUUGCCUCGACAGCACAAACCUCCAUAGAGUCUUGUCGAUCUAGCAACGAGGGUAAGGACAUGACUCUGG
This 306-nucleotide long non-coding RNA is filed under the name Malus domestica (apple). RNAcentral describes it as "long non-coding RNA (MDOM_LNC002750)". The record is from RNAcentral. Lineage: Eukaryota; Viridiplantae; Streptophyta; Magnoliopsida; Rosales; Rosaceae.